AUGCUCGAUGCUUCCUUUUGGGCUGUCUUCUCUGGGUGCUCUGGUGAAACCUCUUCCUCCAGUGCAGAAAAUCACAGACUUCUCCCCAAAACCCUCUCUGAUAAAACCCUCUCUGGUGUACCCAGCAUCAGGCAAGUGGUCAUUGCUGGGGCCAGCCCCUUCUCUUGCUGCCCAGAUGGGUGUAAGGAGGGAUGGGCUAACAGGUGGGGCGCAUUGCCACCCACAGAUAACUGGCUGCACCCAGCUGCUGGGGGGAAAAGGGGAAUUGGGGAGCAGCUCUGGGUUGGCGAGGGGCUUUGGGGAAGCCUGGGGCUCUUCUUUGCUGAGCCUCUGUCCCUAGACUUUUGCUGGAGGAGCUCUGGGUCUGCUACAGUUCAGCAUUGUGGCUCUGCUCUCUGUAAUUCAACACCGAGAAACCUCACCUUGCCCCUGCUGCCCUUUUCUGCUCGGUUAGAGGAUGGAUUGGGACCGUGAUCUUUGCUCGGAAGCAUUUUUGGAGGUGUUUAUUUCAGUUCAAGCCCAAGAGAUGGCACUGCCAACGUGGUGUGUCCCAAGGAAGCCUUGUUCACCCAAGGUUGUCUGCCCUCUCCAACCUUUGCAGACACAGAAAAUUUCACUGUGGGACAGCUGUGAGAUGGGCAAUCUUCAUAAUUCUCUGUUUUACUCAUUUCUGGGUGAUUAAUCUGUCGCAAUUAAUUGGCAAUCCUUGUUUUCUUUAUGACCGUUGGCUGUGCUUAUCGUUCGCCGCACGCCUUUGGGCCUGAGCUGGGUACCCGGAGCUGACACACAGAUUAUUUUAUGGUGAUUUAUUCUGAUUCCGAGCCCUGAGGAGGCAGAGGUUUGAUCUUUACCUGUCUGGAUCUUUAUCUUUCCCCAGCCCUCGUGGGAUUUUGGGGUGCCCGCUUGGGUGCUGGGGAUGCUCAGGGUUGCUGCUGCGCACAUCGCACAAGGUCAGCCGGGCUGUGCAGGUGCUGCUGGGUUGCAGGGAGAUAAUAAUUCAUGUCUCCGUUGCUGGGUCACAGCUGAAAGUAAUGAAUGGCUUCCAAAACUUGUGCAAGUUUCCUUUUAUUAAUAUAUCUGGGGCUCCUCCUUUGCCCACGGGUGUCUGGGCACAAUUAGGUCAUACUUUUCCAACCUAGAAAACAUGAGAUUUUCUUUCUGCAACGAGAACUGAGAUUCUCUGCUAAUGGCAACGCUCCUGAAGAAGGGUCUGAGGGAGGAGGAGGAACAAAAAAGGCAGAUGUGGCAAGCAGACCAUGAUAAAACUGAUCUGGUGUGAUUCCUGCGCACAGCUAUUCUGCACUAAGAGCAUCUCCUUCAGAGGGUAACUUUCUCUGCAUGGGUCCGAUCCUGAAGCCCACUGGGGACCUUGGAGCCCUCUCCAUCACUGAUCUCACCUUCCUCCUGCAUCUGGAGGAGGCAAAACUGUCCCAAAACAGGGAUGGAGGGGACAUCAGGAGCACCACGGUGCUCC
Molecule: long non-coding RNA, 1474 nt
Filed under: Anser brachyrhynchus (Pink-footed goose)
Lineage: Eukaryota; Metazoa; Chordata; Aves; Anseriformes; Anatidae
Description: lncRNA (ENSABRG00000021901.1)
Source: RNAcentral